RNAcentral lists this ribosomal RNA (253 nucleotides) under uncultured bacterium. Its description in RNAcentral is "partial 16S ribosomal RNA". It matches the Rfam family "Bacterial small subunit ribosomal RNA", at positions 524 to 776 of the family's 1533-position model. The record is from RNAcentral.
UACGUAGGGUGCAAGCGUUGUCCGGAAUUAUUGGGCGUAAAGAGCUCGUAGGCGGUUUGUUGCGUCGGCUGUGAAAUCCCGAGGCUCAACCUCGGGUCUGCAGUCGAUACGAGCAGGCUAGAGUUCGGUAGGGGAGACUGGAAUUCCUGGUGUAGCGGUGAAAUGCGCAGAUAUCAGGAGGAACACCGGUGGCGAAGGCGGGUCUCUGGGCCGAUACUGACGCUGAGGAGCGAAAGCGUGGGGAGCGAACAGG